GACGAACGCUGGCGGCGUGCUUAACACAUGCAAGUCGAACGGAAAGGCCUGCUUUUGUGGGGUGCUCGAGUGGCGAACGGGUGAGUAACACGUGAGUAACCUGCCCUUGACUUUGGGAUAACUUCAGGAAACUGGGGCUAAUACCGGAUAGGAGCUCCUGCUGCAUGGUGGGGGUUGGAAAGUUUCGGCGGUUGGGGAUGGACUCGCGGCUUAUCAGCUUGUUGGUGGGGUAGUGGCUUACCAAGGCUUUGACGGGUAGCCGGCCUGAGAGGGUGACCGGCCACAUUGGGACUGAGAUACGGCCCAGACUCCUACGGGAGGCAGCAGUGGGGAAUAUUGCACAAUGGGCGGAAGCCUGAUGCAGCAACGCCGCGUGCGGGACGACGGCCUUCGGGUUGUAAACCGCUUUCGCCUGUGACGAAGCGUGAGUGACGGUAAUGGGUAAAGAAGCACCGGCUAACUACGUG
Molecule: ribosomal RNA, 467 nt
Filed under: uncultured bacterium
Lineage: Bacteria
Description: partial 16S ribosomal RNA
Rfam family: Bacterial small subunit ribosomal RNA
Source: RNAcentral